ACAUCUCCUUGGCAGAGGCAGAUCCGGCAGCUCUCAGACAACAGCCCUGAGCCACCACCCUGGUCCAUUUCCUGGCAGGAGAGGGGCCAGCAGCAGGCAGGGGAGCAGCUGCUGAGCCAGCCACAGAUGCCAAGCAGAGCUGGGAGCGAGCAAAGGAGCCAAGCACCAGCAAUGCCUGGCAAUGCAGCACUCAGACAAACCCGUGACGUAUUCCAGCGAGCACCCAGUUAAGGCCCUGUGGGUGGCAGCAGGAUUUGAAAGCCCACUGGCUUGGCAGGGAGGUUAUAGGGAAAAUUGGGGUCCAGAUGGUGGGGGCGCUAGGGUCGCUCUGCCCCUGUGAUCUGAAAAGCAGGAAGCUUUUUACCCAGCCGUAGUUUUUAAAGCAACUCUUUGUCGCCUCAAGAGCUGGUGGUUUUAAAGGGGGCUGGUUGGCCUGGCUGGUUUGUUCUUACCUGGGGCUGUGACAAAAGGAGAGGCAAAGGUGCCUUUGCAAAGUGCCUCCUCGCUUGCAAUCAGUGGCUCUGCGGGGCUGUCUGGGUGCUAGGGUUUGGGAGUCAAUGGAGAGUGCUUUGCAUUUGCCUUUCCUGUGUCCCAGCUGGUUGGAUGUGAUGUUUACAAGGGGCUGAUCAACCUGGGCUGGGGAAAUCUGCUUUCAGACUUGCAAGCCCAGCACCAAACUCCCUGGUUCUUUCGAUGGAAAACCAGAGGAUGCUAAAGACACAGGAGCCCUGCGCUAGCCUCGGCAGCGGACUAAGUGAGCUGGUAGGGAACCGGAAGCUGAUGGUUUUGGGGGCCCUGUUAGCCUGGUUAUUAGUCGUCCACUUGCUGGUUAACAUCUGGCUGCUUUGCCUCCUCUCCGGCUUGUUGGCGGUGUUGGGGGGAUGGCUGGGUUCCCAGGCCAUCAUCGGCACCCGCAGCCGGCUCCACUUGGAACGGUUCAUCCUGCUGGAGAGCUGCCCACAGAGCCCCGAGGCGGAGAGGCAGCUGGAUGAGGAGAUUGACCUCAUGAUCCAGAAGAUCAUCCGGGACUUUGUGUCCUCGUGGUACCGGACGGUUAGCAGCGAGCAGGGCUUCGAGGACGAGGUGAGGAAGGCCAUGACAGGCCUGGCCCUAGAGCUCAAAAGGAGGAUGGCACUGGUGGACAAGCAAGCCUUGACCCAUAAGAUUCUCUUGCUUUGUGGUUGCCACCUGCAAAGCUACAUGAAAGCAAGGGAGAGCACGGAGGCUGCAAGGAGCCCAGCGGGACCGGCUCCGCUGGCACACCAGCUCUGGCAAGCGUACGGUGAGCUUUCUGCCCCGCACCCAGCCGUCCAGAGCCCAGCCAUGGAAGUGAACUACGCCCGGAGCAUUGUGGACCUGUUGCUCCGGGUGCUGGUGCCCAAACCUCACCUGGAAACUAGGACUGGGCGCUUUGUGGUGGUGGAGCUGGUCACCUGCAAUGUUCUUCUGCCUAUGAUCAAGAAGAUGUCUGAUCCUGACUGGAUCAACCUGUUACUAAUUGGGAUUUUCUCCAAGAUGGGCAGCAAAGGGGUGAGAAGGGGAAAGGGGGAGGAGCCUCUUUUGGCUUCCUCCCCUUGCCAGCCCACAGUGCUGAAUUCUUUGCCACUGAAAGUUGUGGCACCAUCUCCAAGGCCUUCGGAGCUCCCCAGUUACGAUGUGGUGGACAGUCUGGAGUGCAACCCUCAAGAGGGGGAAGAGGGGAAGGACCUGUCGAGCGGGGAGCCUGGUGCUGAUGUUGAUGGUAGGAAAGCAGGGAGCACGCCCGUGCGCUACCCCCAGCCAGAUACUCUGGGCUCCCUCUUCCUGUGUGAGGACUCAGAGCUGGAAUCCCCUAUGUCUGACCUCGGCAAGGACUUGGAUUCUGUGGUGCUCUUGUCCGCAGAGGAAUUCCUCACUGACAAGUUCCAGGAUUCCUUUGCGGAGCUGGAGGGGCUGGACGGCCUGGACCAAGAGGACGGUGUGGAUGCCAAGGAUGGGUACCUGGAGGAGAGCACUGCCUCUAGCUCUGAAACGAGCAUCCUCCCCUCUGCUCUGGGCCAGUGCCCCGACAUACAAAUUGACCCCGCAAUGGAGAAGGAGGAAAGCUUGGCGUCUGUCACCGUCCUGCUGGCCGAUCCAGAGAAGCCUUUCUCGAGGCGACCAUCCUUUCUGGAGAACCCUGCGAAGAGUCCCCUGGACCCCAGUCAACCGCCUCUCCCACUCUACUCCUCCCAUACUUUCAGCUUUGAGCCACUCAGUAGCCCUGAUAGCCCAGUCGUCAUCCAGAACCUGCGGAUAACUGGAACCAUCACUGCCCGAGAGCACAGCGGGACUGGGUUCCAUCCCUACACGCUCUACACGGUCAAGUAUGAGACAGCGCUGGAGAGUGAGAACGCCAAUAGCCUCCAGCAGGUGGCCUACCACACCGUGAACCGGCGCUACCGCGAGUUCCUGAACCUGCAGACCAGGCUGGAGGAGAAACCUGAGCUGCGGAAAUUCGUUAAAAAUGUCAAAGGUCCAAAGAAACUUUUCCCUGAUCUUCCAUUCGGAAACAUGGAUAGUGACAAGGUGGAAGCCAGAAAAAGUCUCCUGGAAUCGUUCUUGAAGCAACUGUGCAGCAUUCCUGAGAUUGCCAAUAGCGAGCAGGUGCAGGAGUUCCUUGCCCUGAACACGGACGCCAGGAUCGCGUUUGUCAAGAAACCCUUUGUGGUCUCCAGAAUAGACAAGAUUGUGCUCAAUGCCAUUGUGGACACUUUGAAGACGGCAUUCCCCAGGUCGGAACCUCAGAGCCCAACGGAAGAGCUCAGCGAGGCAGAGGUGGAUGGUAAAUCCCAGACGGAUGGGAAGAAGGCUAAUAAGCCCAGGCUGAGGUUCCCGUCCAGUAAAAUCGCUCCGGUGCUGAGCGUGGCCGAAGCACAUGAGAGGAUCCUGUACGGCCUGAGGGAGGCCAGCACUGUCUCUGACCCCUUGUCCCUGGCCGGAAUGGAGUCCUUCAUUCAGAAGCAGGAGAAGUUGCUGGAGGCGACGUCCAGUGAGGCCCCGGAAACCGAGGGGGCAGGCCCCACGCAUGUCCCGCAGCAGCCGGUGAGCCAGAAGGAUGACCCUGGUUCUGAGACACCCCUGGCAGACACGGCUCUGGACCUGCUGCAUCUGCUGAUGGUGGAUCGCUGGAGCUGGCUCUGCACUGAGAACAUGCAGAAGGUGCUGCACCUGCUCUUCGGAUCCCUGAUCCAAAGUCUCUCUCGCUAGCUCUUUCUGCCAGCACAGCUGGUGAAAACAAAUCACUUGGCAGCCUCCUUGCUCCCCUUGACUUUACACAGGACCACAGAUGCACAGCGUUGCCUGACCCUCUCAAGCACCCGGGCACAAACCUACUUGCUCACACUGCCAGGCUUUUUGGAUGGGCCUGAAUUCAGAAUUUAAAUCAGAGAGCACCUGCACUUUGUAGCUCCUUGAAGCUGGGAACAGAUGGCCUGAGGCAGGUGAUUCAGCAGCUUGUCUGCCAGAGCAUCUGGAACACAGGGAAAGAGGGCGGGAGCAAAUAUCCAGCUGCCGAGACUGCAGUGUAGGCCUCCCCAAGGAUCCCUGCCAGCCCUCCUCAGAUGAGACACAAAACCAAGGUGCUUCCCUGUUAUGACAAUUUAAGACCCUGUGGCUCUUUUAGAGGGUUUUGUUCUGGCUUGUGUCCUGCCCAGAUUGCUAGAUGGAUAAGUAACAUUCCUACCCCUGUUGAAGUCAUUGGAGAAGUUUGUCACUGCCUGACCUAAAAACUGAUGAUGAUUGCUCUGCUGGCGCAGAAUGGCUCUAUGUCUCACCGCAGAGAGACCUGUGUGAUGGUGGGUGAGUGAUUUUCCCCCCUUCCCUCACACAAGAGCUGCUAGGGGAAGGAAUUGCCUCCCUUCUGAUGGUGAGAGCUGGAGAAUGGGAACACGGGCUCUUGGGUUCUCUUCCUGCUUCCUCUUUCACCGUCUCAUUCUGCACCCCGGGACAAGACACUGUCAUGAGUCAGAAAACAAGAUGCAACUCCCACUCCCCAAGGUGAGUGCUACUGAUUGCUAGCAGCUGAAACCCAUGAAAACUGAUCAGGUGAAAGCCUUGAUUCAGACUGAUGCCAUUCCUGCAAAGCAAAGCCACUGGGAAACUUGGAUCGAGGUUGGAACUGGUGGGACUGAGGCACUGAGCAGUGCCGCUAGCAGGCUGAUGGCUAUAGUGUCUUUUCUCACCACCAGAGACUCGGAUGAACCUGAGUAUUGCCUCCCUUAGGAUGUAACGCAAUGACCCAACCGACUGCACAAGUCUUUUCACAACGAGGACACCUGCAGCAGGACUGGUCACUCUUUCCCCAUGAAACAAGCAAGAACUUCCCUGCUUCUAAAGCUGCACAACCUCUUGUGCCCAUGUUGCACUUCCUAACUUGUGUGCAUGCCUGCAGGAUGCCACAGCACUGGGUGCCCUGAAUAGAUUCAAUUGGCUUCUCCCUGCUCUGAGAGCCACCAUCUCCCUAAGACAGCGCUGGCUCUGUAAUUGCUUUGGGAGGAUCCAACAGGACGCUAGUUCCCAGUCAGCUGCAGCUCCUUGGAGCAUGGCUGGUUGUCACAGCCAGGCUCUCGCCUCUAGUUCAGCAGUGAUAACUCUCUGGACGGGAGAGAUUCUCGCUACUUAGCAUGAAAACAGCUCUCUUGCCAUCCUUCCCCAGCCGGGAGGGAUGCAACGAGAGCCCAGUUGACUGGUGUUGCAAUCUGACUUGGUUACACCCCCUGACAGUUCAGCAGCAGGUAGGAGCUAGAGGUAUUUAUCUAUGCCCACAUAAGCAAUCGAUGCUACUGCAGCCUGUUUGUGGAAGGAUGGUGCCGCGUGAGAGGAGGGUGCUGAGGAGGGCUCCAGACGGCAGCUCUGCAGAGGGCUGUCUCCUGGUUUUAUCUCUCGCUCCAAAGUGUGUUGAGAUCCUGUCCAAUUGAAUUUGAGGAGGCAGGGAGAGGUUUUGUGCUGAUCUUGAAUAGCUUUGAAUGGGAAAUAUGAUGGUUUCACUUCCUUCCUGUCCCACAAAACAUGGAGAGAAAGCAACUGAGCUGUGCAGGGGUCCCAACAUGUGAACCUUACACUCUAGCUGGUGCCAAGCUUCAUUUCCAAUUGACUUUAACCUCUAGGAAAGGCUCUGCAAUAACAGCCCAGAGGCCAUCUGAUCAUCAGGAUGCUGGGGUUUUCAUUGUGACGUGGCCACCUCUCCACAAAGAGCUAAACUGAGAACCUGCCAACCUUUCCCUCCUGCCCAAACUCCAAGGAGUUUGGGUGCAGAACUCCAUCACUGAACCGUCUCUCUUGUAAAAUCACUUGCUGUCCAUGAAUGGUGCAGAAGUGCCUGCGUUUGACUGGAUUGAGGCUGCGUUCUGGAUCUCAAGUCUCUUGUUCUUGCACGUUAGCCCAAUGAGUCCCGGAUUCUGAAUGCUGAGAAAGUCUGGAAGGAGUCUAGAUUGCAGUCCACUUCACGUAUCGCUUAUACCAGUGCAGAUGUGCUGUGCCAACGUAAUAUGGGGGUUGCACUUAUUUGAAACUGGAGUCAGCCACACUGGUACAGUGCAUCUGCACCGGGGGGGAGGGGGGAACACACAAGCACAGUUACAUUGGUAUGGCUUGUAAAUUACACAAUCUUAGACUCUUGUGCAGACUGGGGGCCUGUGGUGGAAUCUGGGUGUAAGGGAGUCUACCUUACACCAUCUUCCCUCUGAAUUUGGUCCAGGCACAUAUUUCUGUUUCCCAGGAUGAGCUCUGUAUGACAAGUGUGUGUGUGUGUGUGUGUGUGUGUGUGUGUGUGUGUGUGUGUGAGAGAGAGAGAGAGAGAGAAAUCACAUUGGAUAUUGACAUAAUCCAGUCCUCCCAAAAACCUGGGAAUUUUGGAUCCACUCUUUGUUUCUCCGUCUCAAACAACUUUUCCUUCAGAAACUGUUCUUUCAAAUACAGCCACUAAAAACAAGCAAACUCUGUGCUUUGAUAGUAGUUACUGCCUUGUUUUAACCAUAUCCUUUGCCUUGGUUUGACUCUUUAAGAGUCAGCACCUUAGUAAGAGCUAAUUUAUCUCUUCUGCAUGGGGUGGGAGAUCAGCUAUCAUUUGGGAAGAUAGAGAAGAAAAGAGUUUGGGGGGAACAAUGCUUCUCUCUGUGGAAAAAAGUAUUUAAUUUCUUUUUUGUUUACUGGCUUGCAAAGAGUUAAUGGUGCUUUUCUGUAUUUUAUUUCUGAACUGGGCUAAUGAAGCAAUCCAUGGCUCACAGAGACCGGCCUCUCCCUGGGGCACUGUUAAGAGCUUCAUUGGCUCAAUAAACAUUUGACGAAGACCUUAUCGAAAGCAGGGGAACUUUCUGACUUCAUUAAAAAUCAAGGGCCUGGGACACUUUUUUUUAUCCUCUGUUUCUUACCCCCUCUCCUGCUUCCCGUGGCUUGGGGAGCAAUUCAGUUGCAGCUUUGGCAUUUUUAUUCCUGCGGAAAGAUUGAGAGCCCUAGAUGAAUUAAUCCUUCUGGCUGCAUAUCAGGUGCACCCCAGAGAGCAGCGAGACAAUAUUGCCCCCUUACAACCACACACUGGCCCCAAUGUCUCAAACCUGUGAGAGAGGGCUGCUCCCGGUGAAAGGAAAGGCCUGAUGCCCCGUUGCCCUGCAACGUGACAAAUCAUUUACACCAGCGUGUGUAAAGUCUUACCAUUCUGACUCACUUGGUGCACAGGAGACUUCUGUGUCUGGAUAAACUCACAAGGCUCGAUCAUACUGGGAGUAGCUCUGCUCUGCCGCCUUCCGCGGAGCUGCUCCAGGUUUGCACCAUGGUGCGAGGGAGAGUGGCGUGUGCGCUGUGGGUUUAGCAGGUGUGAAAUUGGCAAGACAGUCUGUUCAACUGGAAGGCACUGAGCCCUGAAGGAUGGAGGCUGCUGCACUGCUGAACAAACACUUCAUCAUAUUGUCCUCGGGCUGUGGGUAUGGAACACAUUGUUCGCAGUUUAAACCACUGUAAACUUUUUACAGGGCAGCAAGAGACGAACGUUUCCAGUAAUUCAAGGAGAUGGUUUACUUCUUUUCUUCUCUUCUUGGCCAGCUCUUUAAAAGGGCUCAGGGUUCUUCAUAUUCUUUGAUUUAUGGAGGGCUCUUUUUUUCUGUCAGUCCUCUGCAAACAAUUCAGCAAACUGGACGAAGGCUGGUUUGCUCUGCAGGCAUCAGAUCCAAGUUUUUCAGCUCUGAGCUUUGUGCGUUUCUCUUGACAGCAUGAGGGAGAAGCAAACACGUAAAUUCUGGUGAUUGUAGCAUCAGCGGGUGCUGAAAGUGGAGGCUG
Molecule: RNA transcript, 7290 nt
Organism: Dermochelys coriacea (leatherback sea turtle)
Lineage: Eukaryota; Metazoa; Chordata; Testudines; Dermochelyidae
Gene: SNX19
Gene name: sorting nexin 19
Exons: 10
Source: RefSeq, a predicted model, not a curated record